This 161-nucleotide unclassified non-coding RNA is filed under the name uncultured Talaromyces. RNAcentral describes it as "sequence contains ITS2". Lineage: Eukaryota; Fungi; Ascomycota; Eurotiomycetes; Eurotiales; Trichocomaceae. The record is from RNAcentral.
CAACCCUCAGAACCCCUUUGGGGGAUCUGGCGUUGGGGAUCGGCAGUCCUGCCGGCCCCGAAAUAUAGUGGCGGUCUCUCUGUGACCUUCCCUGUGUAGUAGCGAUACCUCGCAGCGGGAUAGCAGUCUGGCCACGCCGUAAAACACCCAACUUCUCAAGG